Molecule: ribosomal RNA, 378 nt
Filed under: Lautropia mirabilis
Lineage: Bacteria; Pseudomonadati; Pseudomonadota; Betaproteobacteria; Burkholderiales; Burkholderiaceae
Description: bacterial SSU rRNA
Rfam family: Bacterial small subunit ribosomal RNA
Source: RNAcentral
AUCGGAACGUGCCCCAGUAGUGGGGAUAGCUCGCGAAAGCCGGAUUAAUUACCGCAUACGACCUGAAGGGUGAAAGCGGGGGAUCUUCGGACCUCGCGCUAUUGGAGCCGCCGAUGGCAGAUUAGCUAGUUGGUGGGGUAAAGGCCUACCAAGGCGACGAUCUGUAGCUGGUCUGAGAGGACGACCAGCCACACUGGGACUGAGACACGGCCCAGACUCCUACGGGAGGCAGCAGUGGGGAAUUUUGGACAAUGGGCGAAAGCCUGAUCCAGCAAUGCCGCGUGUGUGAUGAAGGGCUUCGGGUUGUAAAGCACUUUUGGUGGGAACGAAAGGGACUGUGCCAAUACCACGGUUCGAUGACGUACCCGCAGAAUAACC